AUGAACGCUGGCGGCGUGCCUAAUACAUGCAAGUCGAGCGAACAGACGAGGAGCUUGCUCCUCUGACGUUAGCGGCGGACGGGUGAGUAACACGUGGAUAACCUACCUAUAAGACUGGGAUAACUUCGGGAAACCGGAGCUAAUACCGGAUAAUAUAUUGAACCGCAUGGUUCAAUAGUGAAAGACGGUUUUGCUGUCACUUAUAGAUGGAUCCGCGCCGCAUUAGCUAGUUGGUAAGGUAACGGCUUACCAAGGCAACGAUGCGUAGCCGACCUGAGAGGGUUAUCGGCCACACUGGAACUGAGACACGGUCCAGACUCCUACGGGAGGCAGCAGUAGGGAAUCUUCCGCAAUGGGCGAAAGCCUGACGGAGCAACGCCGCGUGAGUGAUGAAGGUCUUCGGAUCGUAAAACUCUGUUAUUAGGGAAGAACAAAUGUGUAAGUAACUAUGCACGUCUUGACGGUACCUAAUCAGAAAGCCACGGCUAACUACGUG
Molecule: ribosomal RNA, 496 nt
Filed under: uncultured bacterium
Lineage: Bacteria
Description: partial 16S ribosomal RNA
Rfam family: Bacterial small subunit ribosomal RNA
Source: RNAcentral